UGGGGAAUUUUGCGCAAUGGGGGAAACCCUGACGCAGCAACGCCGCGUGGAGGAUGAAGUACUUCGGUACGUAAACUCCUUUCGAUCGGGACGAUUAUGACGGUACCGAGAGAAGAAGCCCCGGCUAACUUCGUGCCAGCAGCCGCGGUAAUACGAGGGGGGCGAGCGUUGUUCGGAAUUAUUGGGCGUAAAGGGUGCGUAGGCGGUUUGGUAAGUCUGAUGUGAAAUCUAUGGGCUCAACUCAUAGUCUGCAUCGGAAACUGCCGGGCUUGAGUAUGGGAGAGGUGAGUGGAAUUCCUGGUGUAGCGGUGAAAUGCGUAGAUAUCAGGAGGAACACCUGUGGCGAAAAGCGGCUCACUGGACCAUAACUGACGCUGAUGCACGAAAAGCUAGGGGAGCAAAACAGGAUUAGAUACCCUGGUAGUCCUAGCCCUAAAACGAUGACUGCUUGGUGUGACGGGUACCCAAAUCCCGCCGUGCCGUAGCUAACGCGUUAAAGCAGUCCGCCUGGGGAGUACGGUCGCAAGGCUGAAAACUU
This 538-nucleotide ribosomal RNA is filed under the name uncultured bacterium. RNAcentral describes it as "partial 16S ribosomal RNA". It matches the Rfam family "Bacterial small subunit ribosomal RNA", at positions 355 to 902 of the family's 1533-position model. The record is from RNAcentral.